GACGAACGCUGGCGGCGUGCUUAACACAUGCAAGUCGAACGGAAAGGCCCUGCUUUUGUGGUGUGCUCGAGUGGCGAACGGGUGAGUAACACGUGAGUAACCUGCCCUUGACUUUGGGUUAACUUCAGGAAACUGGGGCUAAUACCGGAUAGGAGCUCCUGCUGCAUGGUGGGGGCUGGAAAGUUUCGGCGGUUGGGGAUGGACUUGCGGCUUAUCAGCUUUUUGGUGGGGUAGUGGCUUACCAAGGCUUUGACGGGUAGCCGGCCUGAGAGGGUGACCGGCCACAUUGGGACUGAGAUACGGCCCAGACUCCUACGGGAGGCAGCAGUGGGGAAUAUUGCACAAUGGGCGGAAGCCUGAUGCAGCAACGCCGCGUGCGGGAUGACGGCCUUCGGGUUGUAAACCGCUUUCGCCUGUGACGAAGCGUGAGUGACGGUAAUGGGUAAAGAAGCACCGGCUAACUACGUG
RNAcentral lists this ribosomal RNA (468 nucleotides) under uncultured bacterium. Its description in RNAcentral is "partial 16S ribosomal RNA". It matches the Rfam family "Bacterial small subunit ribosomal RNA", at positions 28 to 507 of the family's 1533-position model. The record is from RNAcentral.